UGGGACCUUGCUGUGGACAUUUGCUC
Molecule: non-coding RNA, 26 nt
Filed under: Mus musculus (house mouse)
Lineage: Eukaryota; Metazoa; Chordata; Mammalia; Rodentia; Muridae
Source: RNAcentral